Molecule: long non-coding RNA, 1060 nt
Organism: Panicum virgatum (switchgrass)
Lineage: Eukaryota; Viridiplantae; Streptophyta; Magnoliopsida; Poales; Poaceae
Exons: 2
Source: RefSeq, a predicted model, not a curated record
UAUGUUAUUGUCUGUUUGUUUCCAAGCAUGCUGGUUCCUCUCCCUGUGCUUGGAAACAAUGCAAUUGGAAAGACUGUUUCAGAGGACAUUUGAUGACUGAAAUGCAGUGCUAGGCAUGGGAUUAGCUAUUACAUCACUUAACCAGUUAACAUGUCUCAGUAUUGGUUUAAGAGUUCUGAACCCAGUCUGUUUCUUACGCUUUUACUGUUAGGUGUUGGGGAGUGGCAUUAUUGAUAUGUUUCGUGGUCUGCCUGUAAGAUACUGCUCUUCAAGAGAAAAUGGAUUUUCCCCCCUUUUAUUUAUCCCAAAUGUCUGUGUGCAAGUGUAAUCCUGGCAUAUUAAUGAUCAUGCCUUGCUUUCUCAAAGCUGAGAUCAUUAUGUGGUACUCAGUAGCUAUGAAACAUGGCAGUAUAGUAGACAUCUACAUCAUUUCUGAAUGAUAUAUUUGCUUGCGUGAUUCCUUAACCAACUUUCUGUCCACUACAAUUCCUGCAAUUAUCUUAGAAGCACAAUACAUAAAAAUUUGGAGAAAAUGUAAUGAGUGUUAGGCAGAGGACAAAAUAUUGUGUUGCCCACUCUAUUGUGAUUUUGGUAAGAGCUUGAAUAUAAUUUGGAUCUCAUAAUAUGGAUCAUCUGAUGCUAAGGAAGGACUGUUGAAGUAGAGUAAUGUCAUCUUUCAUCUGCUAAGCACUGCUUGUAUAGCACGCCUGCACACGCUGCAAUUGCAAUCCUGCUUUGGUAGUGGGGAGUGCCGGUGAUGGUUGUGGCCACAAUUUGAGUUUCUGGAUAGGAAGCUGAGGCUUAUGACAAGUUAAUGGUUUGCUAUGAAGUGUAGCCUGUGUCUAGGCUUGGAACUGGCAGCACUCAAGGUGUGCCAUGAGACAAGGAAAUCUGACGGGUAUAGUUUAUCUUGGGCGCUAAAACUCUUAAUGGCAUGUGGCCUGUUCUGUAGUUCAUAUGACUGCUGGAGGCGAAAGCUGAUACUGUUCUAUGCUCACCCUCUCAAAAGAAUUGCGGAAAAUACUGCAUAAGCGGAUGCAGAUUUAUAGUCCACACAAGA